Long non-coding RNA from Neodiprion virginianus, 2686 nucleotides. RefSeq lists it as uncharacterized. The transcript has 3 exons. NCBI's taxonomy places the organism in Eukaryota, Metazoa, Arthropoda, Insecta, Hymenoptera, Diprionidae. The record is from RefSeq and is a predicted model, not a curated record.
GAAGGGUCAAAGUACACAACCCUAAUGUUCGGACCACGAGUACAGAGUCUCAUCGAUCCGAUGAAAAUUUCACACGACUCGACACCCUGAACCUUACGACGUAAAAUAUUUCAAGUUUAUCGAUAUAAAUGGUUUGAAAAAAAUUCACUCGGGACAAGUAAAGUGCGCGACGUUGGACACUUGCCAUCGAGACUGCGCAUACCUGUGUUUAAUACCGAGCAUACACUGCCUAAAAGUAAUAAUAAUAACAACAAUGACAAAGAAGUGGUAAAAGUAAAAGUGGAAUUGUAGCAGAGGGCGGCAGCAGAGCCGACCAGUCGCCAAGAGACAACGUUGCUCCGAGGAACGGCAUCAUGGCCGCCACUGUCAAAGGCCGUUUCAACGCGGGUUGCCUGUUCGCCUCUCUGCCCGCCUCUCCGCCGGUUACGUAACCUGUGACAUUACCGUACACGCACCCAUACAACCGCACCUUCUACGAUCUCGGCUCGAAGAGCGUUAUAGGCAAGGUUGUUUUUUUACCUGUUACUAUACACCGUGCAUGGAUGGGUGCGUAUUUUUCCUCCUUUACAACUCCACCUCUCGAUUCUACGAUGUGAUUUGUGAAUCUUUUAAUACCGCUCCUCUGAUCAACGUUGUAUACCUCCAUGAAUUUGUAUUGGAAUUUCCUUACCGAGUUUAUCAAACCGAUUGAAUUCGUAUAUUUCUGGGCAACCAGAGUGAAUUACAGCUGACUUUUAUUGAAAAAACAUUCCGUGUUUUCUAAUCGAUGCACAACAAAAAGUUCUUUGUCAAACUCUUUUAAUUUAUCGAUCAUCGUCAGCAUCCGGCGAUGGUUUAAGAUCGCGUAAACUUUUCGAAACAAGUUCAGGAUUUUUCAAGUUUGGAAAUUCAUUCUAUUUCAAUUUCUGGGGUAUUUAUUUAGACUUUCACUUCAAAGUCUCUACUCGAUAUAAAUUACAAACAGAAGAAUCCUGAUGCGCAGAAUAUUUAAAAAAAAAAAAAAAACGGCCCAUACUAUUUUCUAUUUGGAUUUGAAAUCUCUCACAAAUGUAGAUACAUUUCACGGUUGAUGCCGAGUAAUUUUCGUCUAAUCGAGAUACGAGCAAGAUAUUAUCUACCUUCUCGUUACUCCAAUCGCGUCUUGAAGUGUGCAAUACAUACAAAUUGCUGGCAAUAUGCUUCUAUAUACGAGAUACGAGUACACACGUCUCGUUAUCGAAGUAAUUAGAAAAAACGGUACUUUCAUAACUGGCGCAAGGAAAAAAAAAAAUAUAUAUAUAUACCGUGCGUAUAUCGAAACGAGUGAAACGCGCAAUUUGUAAUCAACAAGAGAUCCCCAUCUUUUCCCAACUUUGUUGCACUGAAAAAUAAUCCCGAUAAAAUCCAAACAAAAGCGGUAUUAUUGGUAAAAUAUUUCUUCGUCAUUUCUUUUGCGCAUCGAUUUUAAACAUUAUUUUUUCUUUUAUAAAUAAAAAUAUUUCCAUGCUUCUUAUUUUCACUCAUCUUAUCAAUGUUGUCAUUAUCAAAAUUAUGAUUACGUAAAAAUUACACACGAAUGAGACAAAUAUAUGCAUAUGCAUACCCUUACAUGUAUCAUGAACGAGAAAUGCGGAUCUAAAUAAAUGACGUACGGAAAACCGUGUGAUAGAAUAAUUAUUAUCAUUAUUAACACGCAACAUGCACUAAGCGUGGAAGAAAAACAGUGGGGGAUUAUUACUCACUCGGAUAUUUGUCCACGCAGCAAUGACGUAUUUAAAUCGAUACGUGUCUCUGCAUAUCUGUAUAUACAUAUAUCUAUUGAUGUAUAGGCUAUGCUAUGAAUAGCAUGUAUAGUUACGUAUAAAUGUAACACUACUGCAAACUUGUCAAGAAACUGCAGCAGCAGCAGCAGCAGCAGCGCAGCAGCCAGCCAAGCUGCAAACGAGCCAGCCAGCAACUGCACUGACCUUCGUAUUAUACCUACCUACAUAUUACGCAUCGCACGAUAACGCAGCAGCAGCAGCAGCAGCAACGUAUUGCAUAAACACGCGAUUUGUAAUUUGCAAUUUCGGCUUUGGCGGCGAAUUGUACGUAAGGCGGUAGCUUACUGUUUCCGUUCGACGUUUUUCAAACCUUGUACCCUUGGCGAACUUUAUUAUUUUUUAUCAAUUUCCUUAGUUUUUCAUCGAAAUUUUAUUGUGUUUUUCAUUUUUCAAUUUAAAACUGAUCACGUUUGGGUGAAAAGACAGAAAAAGAUGACAAAACCAAACGUCCUCGUAAGUUUCUUUUCAAGUUCGAGGAAAAAUCUCAGCACGCACACACGUCGCGUUUGUAUUUUAAAAACGUCGAUAAAGGAUCGAGUGUAAGGACGAAAGGAAUGAAAAUCCUGCCACCUCGUCCAGCCUCGUCGUCGGAGAGACUGUGUCUCCGUGCAGGAUCUCCUGCGUCACUUGCCCUGUUUCAGCCCCGCCAUCGAAGCUGUUGCAACCCCCGACAACGAACGAGGAGGAGGAGGAGGAGAGAUAGAGAGAGACUGAAAAAUCCGUAUGAAAUAACAACAGACGCAAUAAAAUUGCGAAAUGCAAUGCCCGAGAGCGCAGGUUUCAUACGCAGCCUCCUGUAUUCCCUUUAUUCCUGUAUCCAGUAGCCAGGCAACCAGGCAGCAACAGCAACAUGUAGGAGUAUUGCAAAGGGAAGAGGGAUGGGA